Molecule: small nucleolar RNA, 133 nt
Organism: Mastomys coucha (southern multimammate mouse)
Lineage: Eukaryota; Metazoa; Chordata; Mammalia; Rodentia; Muridae
Product: small nucleolar RNA SNORA17
Exons: 1
Source: RefSeq, a predicted model, not a curated record
GCUGCAGCCCUGGAGGCGGUGCAAGCAUGGCUGCUAUAGCGCAUGUGCGUCAGUAGGUGGCAGAGAGGAGAGAGGCUAUUCUCUGCUCCGUGUUCGGACCUGUGAACAACUGAAUGAUGAGUAGCCUAUCAUU